GAAACUUUGCCAACACUCUGGCCUUUAUCCCUCCUCUCGUUGCGAUUGGAAACAUUCCAGGAUAUAGGCCUAUUUUGGUGCAAAGAAGAUUGAACUAUCUUCUGACACGUUACUCACCUCGGCAUCCUGUCCACGUGGGCAGUGGAUGCAGUGGUCCAUCAUUACUGUGUCUACAU
RNAcentral lists this small nucleolar RNA (176 nucleotides) under Exophiala aquamarina CBS 119918. Its description in RNAcentral is "Small nucleolar RNA snR80". It matches the Rfam family "Small nucleolar RNA snR80". The record is from Rfam by way of RNAcentral. Lineage: Eukaryota; Fungi; Ascomycota; Eurotiomycetes; Chaetothyriales; Herpotrichiellaceae.